This is a long non-coding RNA of Chlorocebus sabaeus (green monkey), 3847 nucleotides long. RefSeq lists it as uncharacterized. NCBI's taxonomy places the organism in Eukaryota, Metazoa, Chordata, Mammalia, Primates, Cercopithecidae. The record is from RefSeq and is a predicted model, not a curated record.
UCUCCUGACCUCGUGAUCUGCCCGCCUCGGCCUCCCAAAGUGCUGGGAUUGCAGGCUUGAGCCUGCGCCUGGCCAGAACAGUUUUCAAUAGCAAGGAUAUGCCAGAAUUGUACGGCUUCCCACAGUUAAUGGGCAUUUGGGGGCCCUCCUUCCCCAGUUGUUUGCUUUUAUACGUCAUGUGCCAUGAGCAUUGUCGCACUUGCUUCUUUAUGCAUUCAAGUGCCAGUGGAAGGAGAAAGAUCUCGAAGUCCUGAUUCUAUUAAUUAAGUGGUCCAAGAACGAGAAUGAGCAUCUUGAGGUCUCCCUCUUCAACAGCCUUACAGUGUGGAGGGGAGCAGACACACACAUAGCUUUUACUUAGGGAGACAAGGGUCAACUAAAAGUUAAAGGAGUGCAGGAGGAGGGAGACUGAGGGGUUCAGUCGAGGGGAUGGUUGAGAAGGCUGCCUGGAGGAGGUGUGCUUGAGUCCUGGGUUCAAGGGUCAAAAGGCUCUGAUGCUUGGUCUGCUAAUCUUUCUUAUCGUAUCGUUGCCUGGCAGUAUGCCUGUUAUUUGAGUGGACUCCUCUUGGACCAUUUGCUUGGAUGAACAGUGGGCAGAAGUGGAAAGGAAGGGUGCUCUGGACAAAGGUGACAACACCCGGGAACAAAAGUUGGAAGGUGCACAGUGUGCCCAGAAGGCCAGGAAUUGGGUGGAGUGACCGGCUCCUUGGUCACUUGCAAGUAGCAUGAGAAUGGAGAGGGUUGGGAGCAUGCACUAAAAAGCACCCAGGACGAAUUUAGGUUUGCACAGAAAAUGAUGUUUCUUCAGGGUUUGUGAGGUGAGUUGGGUAGAGAAUUUAGGAAUGGAGCAGACGACUCUGGUUGGGCUGAUGAGAGCGGAGAGACAGACCCAUGUUCUUUCCAGGUGCCCCGGCAGCUCCAGGCCUCACCGAACCUGUUGCGAUGGCAGCCUCUAUGCUUCACUGUUGGGGAUUGCUUCUGCUUUGAAAUAGCCACAUGGAAGAAAAACUACAAAGUUUUGAGGGGGAAAAAAACCCACCUAACGUUAGCUGCCGAUGUGUCUUCAUCUGUAAAAAUCUUCUUCAUGUCUCAUGGAUUUCAACAUGCAGUUUCUCUUGGGUUUGUUCCAUAAAACAUCAGAUGCAACUUUAAUGGCCUGACCCCAAAAAAGAUAACUUCACAGCCAUCAAACAGUCAGCAGCGUUCCACAUACCCUCUUGCUGGAGCCAGCCUUCUACGGGGCCGUGUGGAUGUCAGGCACACACGAUGUGAGUCACGCUGACAUAGCUGGGAUGCCUGGAUUGCGCUGGAAUCUGGGGGGUACCAAUCACAGGCCAGAGAGAAGUCAUUGGCUGGAAGGAACAAUGCCAGAAUGUUCACCAUCUCUGCAGAAGGAGGGGGUGUUGAUGGUGAAGGGAAUGACAGUGGCAGUCAGAGGAGGAAAAUGACCCCGAAGCAGGGUGGGCACGGCUCAGUGAUGCUGGGCAGAAGCAUUCCAGGGGCUCAGGUCAUGACCACACCCCUCUUCUCCUGCCCCACCACCAGAAAAAUUAAGAAGGUACAAGAUUUUCCCUACAACUGAAUGUACGGAACGCCCUGCUGUCUUCAAGUUUUUGGGAAACCCAGAGUUGACACAGCCCAAAUGGAUGAAGCACUUACCUCUACCAGACACUGUCUGUAUCUUACAAAUAAUUCAUUUAAUUCUCACAGCUCCUUCAUGAGGUAAGUUUUGCAAUUUCCAUUUUAUGAUGAGGGAAACUGAGGCUUAAAAAGAUUAAUAAACUUGCCCAAAUCCUGCAGUCAGAAAUGGGCAGAAUCAAGACUUGAACCACAAUCUCUCCAAAGCCAAAGCCUGGGCACUCACGACUACCCUCAACAGUCCAGUGGCUGCUUCAUGCCAUUGGUGCCACCCCCACACAGCCCUCUCUUGGAUGGUGGAACCCUGUGUGUUGAACAAAUCGAGAAAAAUUCUAAAAGGAUUCUUUUUCCUCCACUGUUUUCCUGGGGGCUGAGUAGACAUGUUUGAACAUGCUGUUCAUCUGAUGCUUGUUUACUUCAGUGGUUGUGAUGUACAAGACCCAGACCAGGAACAGUAAGAGGGCAUGAGGACAACCCAGCAUGGACACCACUCUGGAGGAGGCUGCAGACUGGAGGAACUGUUGUAGCCGACUGCAUUUUGGAGGCUAGAGUGGAAUGCCAGCGUCCUGAGAAUAAAGCUUCUGAGCUGACCUGGGAAGGGGUGCCAGUGGCAGCUGUGUCCCCUACAGCUCUGGAAGGUGGAGGCGGUGGAGAGAGCGACUACACAGCUGCCACAAGCCUGGGUCCCUGCCAGGUGAGACCUCAAAGUCCUCUCGAGGGUUGGCUUCCCUGUGCUGGGCCAUGCACAAAGGCGAGUGGUGGCUUCCAGGAGAGCAGCAGAACGUGGUCCUCGGGAGAGGAGAAAGCCCCGGGGAAGGGCUGAUGGGACCUCAGCCCGCAGCUCUGAGAAGGGCUGCUUUGUAGGGAGGGGAUGCAGGCAACAGCUCUCCCAAGAGCCAGGCAAGCAAAAGUAGGUUUCUGUUUGAGCAGCAGCUGGGGAAUUUCAGGGAGCGAGAGGAAUCCACUCCCGACAGUGCGUCAUGUUCAACCCUGGAAGAGGUGACCAUGAAGGGGGCCUCUAGAGAGAGGAGAUGGGCUGCGCUUAGGCUGGCCUCUUUAUUAUCUCUGCCUCUCACCUUUGGGAACCCUGUCCAUCUUUGAGCCCCUGGCGCCAGUGACUCCACUCUGCGAAUCCUUCCCUGACCAGCCCUCCCCCACACCCAUAAGACUCCAAGUUCUGUUUGGGGGACAGAAAGCCCAAGUGCCCUGAGGUCCAGGCUGGUCCACAUUCAUCCCUGGGUGGGCUGUGGCUCGGACCAGUCAUUUGGGUGAUGGAAGUCUCAGACACUCUGGAGGCUAGCCCAGUUGGUCCUGGUGCCCCCACUAACACUCACACCCUAUUCUCCUGCAGCAAAUCUACCCUCUCUACUAUUCAUUUGGCCUUGGGUGUUAGGUAUCAUGUGACCUCGCUGGUAUGACAUCUCCUGGUGUUAGCGGCUUCUUGCGCGAGUACAUUUCUCAGAUGAUCAGACAACAUUUAUUGAACAGUUAGCAUGUGCCACCCACCAGUGUAACUGCUUUGUGGGGUUAUCGCAUUUAAUUCUCCCAAGAAGCCCACGAGUUGUUGUUAUUUUUAUCACCAUAUUACAGAGAAGGAAACAGGGGCCUAAGGACUCAGUGGCUACGGGAUGAGCUGGUACUCAAACACAAUAUUGGAACCCCGGCCAUCAAAAUCUGAUUUGUCACUGGUUUGUCUCUCAACAAAAAGAAGUCAGAGUCUGUCUUACUCCCUUCUAUCUCCCGUAGCUCCUGGAGAAUCUUCCAUAAAACUGGCAGACUCCUCCUGGUCUCCACCUGUGCCGUCUACCUCUCUAGUUCCGGACACAGAGCUGGUGCCCUGCGGCCACCUCAAGCAGGAACCCUGCAAGGUCACCAAGAAGACUGCGUGCCUCGCUCUAGCCUCUUCCUAAGGGAAAGCAGACUCCUGUUUUUGAGAGAAAUUACCUGAUUUCGAGAGAAACAUAAAGGACUUUUUUUCUCCUUAAGGUAACAUUCCACUUGUAAAAAUAAGUUUGGAAGAAUUUCUGCAAACUCAGUGUUUUGGUCAGUUGGAUCUUUUACUGUACCAGCCGAAUCUAAAGCCACAAAUACACUGGGGAGGAAGGUGGGCCCUUCCCAAAGGAUUUGCACUUAGCCAGACUCUCUGUUGCUGUGCUUCUUUAAUAAAGAACAUUUCUGGUAUAUUUUGUCAAUUUAUUUUGAUUUUUUA